CGCUGGCGGCGUGCUUAACACAUGCAAGUCGAACGGAGAUUACCACCUGCUUGCAGGAGGUAAAUCUAGUGGCGGACGGGUGAGUAACGCGUGGGUAACCUGCCUCACGACAGGGGGAUAACAGUUGGAAACGACUGUUAAUACCGCAUAAGCGCACGGUAUCGCAUGAUACAGUGUGAAAAACUCCGGUGGUGUGAGAUGGACCCGCGUCUGAUUAGCUAGUUGGUGAGGUAACGGCCCACCAAGGCGACGAUCAGUAGCCGGCCUGAGAGGGUAAACGGCCACAUUGGGACUGAGACACGGCCCAAACUCCUACGGGAGGCAGCAGUGGGGAAUAUUGCACAAUGGGGGAAACCCCGAUGCAAGCGACGCCGCGUGAGUGAUGAAGUAUUUCGGUACGUAAAACUCUAUCAGCAGGGAAGAAAAUGACGGUACCUGACUAAGAAGCACCGGCUAAAUACGUGCCAGCAGCUGC
Molecule: ribosomal RNA, 475 nt
Filed under: uncultured bacterium
Lineage: Bacteria
Description: bacterial SSU rRNA
Rfam family: Bacterial small subunit ribosomal RNA
Source: RNAcentral